UACGGAGGGUGCGAGCGUUGUCCGGAUUUAUUGGGCGUAAAGAGCGUGUAGGCGGCCAUUUAGGUCCGGUGUGAAAACUCGAGGCUUAACCUCGAGAUGUCAUCGGAAACCAUUUGGCUAGAGUCCGGAAGAGGAGAGUGGAAUUCCUGGUGUAGCGGUGAAAUGCGUAGAUAUCUGGAGGAAGACCGGUGGCGAAGGCGGCACCCUGGACCGGUAUUGACGCUGAGGCGCGAAAGCUAGGGGAGCAAACGGG
This 253-nucleotide ribosomal RNA is filed under the name uncultured bacterium. Its description in RNAcentral is "partial 16S ribosomal RNA". It matches the Rfam family "Bacterial small subunit ribosomal RNA", at positions 524 to 776 of the family's 1533-position model. The record is from RNAcentral.